ACUGCUGCCCAGUGUCAAGGUUAAACGGCCGCGGUAUUCUGACCGUGCAAAGGUAGCAUAAUCACUUGUUCCUUAAUUAGGGACUAGCAUGAAUGGCAAGACGAGGAUUUAACUGUCUCUUACUUCUAAUCAGUGAAAUUGACCUUCCAGUGAAGAGGCUGGAAUAACACAAUAAGACGAGAAGACCCUAUGGAGCUUUAAUUAACUAGCUUAACUCUAAAUAUCAACCCCUAAUGGAUUAAAACCAAAACUAUAGGCUAGCAAUUUUGGUUGGGGUGACCUCGAGAACAAAACAACCUCCGAAUGAUUAUAGCACAGACACACAAGUCAAAGCACACAUAAACCUAAUUGACCCAACCCUACUUUGACCAACGGACCAAGUUACCCUAGGGAUAACAGCGCAAUCCUAUUUAAGAGUCCAUAUCGACAAUAGGGUUUACGACCUCGAUGUUGGAUCAGGACACCUGAAUGGUGCAGAAGCUAUUAAGGUUCGUUUG
This 497-nucleotide ribosomal RNA is filed under the name Grammomys sp. RNAcentral's name for it is "partial small subunit ribosomal RNA". It matches the Rfam family "Bacterial large subunit ribosomal RNA", at positions 1854 to 2579 of the family's 2925-position model. The record is from RNAcentral. Lineage: Eukaryota; Metazoa; Chordata; Mammalia; Rodentia; Muridae.